GUGCUCAUUUCAGCAGCACAGGUACUAAAAUUGGAACAAUACAGAGAAGGUUAGAAUGGCCCCUGUGCAAGGAUGACACAAAAUUUCAUCAGUUCUAUUAAAAAAAG
Molecule: small nuclear RNA, 107 nt
Organism: Octodon degus (degu)
Lineage: Eukaryota; Metazoa; Chordata; Mammalia; Rodentia; Octodontidae
Source: Ensembl